UCGUUUGUCAACAUAUUGAGAUCCCACUGCUCAAACCGAUUCCCACAUAUCUAAAUAGCUCAUUGAGAACCCACUGCUCAGACCAAUGCACUAAAACUUUGAAAUCGAAGCAACUGCAAACCAACAAAAUUCCCAGUGAAUGUUUAGGUGCCAAAAGUGUGCAUAAAUAUAACUUGCAUAAGUUUGAUAUAUGAAAGAACCAACCUAUUUAAAAUUGUCAGUCAUCCAGGUAAUAAUAGGACCCAGCAGAUUUCUGCUCCCUGUCCUUGGUUGAUUCCAAUUUGUUGAUUCUAGGGCGGAAAUUAGUUGGGUCCCUUCUAAAUGUGAUAUCCAAAUG
This is a long non-coding RNA of Quercus robur (English oak), 337 nucleotides long. RefSeq lists it as uncharacterized. The transcript is spliced from 2 exons. The record is from RefSeq and is a predicted model, not a curated record. NCBI's taxonomy places the organism in Eukaryota, Viridiplantae, Streptophyta, Magnoliopsida, Fagales, Fagaceae.